CCACAGCAUCGUCGCACCCGGUUCAAGACUGCUGACACUGAGAAUGGAUUUCUUGACAAAUAUAUAUUUAUGGAUUAAGAGAGAACACUUCAAAAGGAGUCGUGGAGCAGAGGUGAAGGUGGUUGAGGUGGAGGUGGAGGAGUUCAUCAAAAGCUCCAUCAGUGACCAUGAUGGGUCAUAUGUCUGCAAAAGUCAGAAUACACAACCCUUUCAUUUUUACUGUGAACAACACAAGGCACGAGGAAAGUCGACAGGGCAGCCACAGGACACCAGGACAAACAGCUGUAAGGACUACAGUGCUUUUGGAAAGUAUUCAGACCCCUUGACUUUUUCCACUUUUUGUUACGUUACAGCCUUAUUCUAAAAUGGAUUAAAUAAAUAAAAAAUCCUCAGCAAUCUACACACAAUGCCCCAUAAUGACAAAGCGAAAACUGGUUUUUAGACAUUUUUUAAAAUGUUUAAAAAAUAAAAAAUGCCUUAUUUACAAAAGUAUUCAGCACCUUUGCUAUGAGACUCGAAAUUGAGCUCAGGUGCAUCCUGCUUCCAUUGGUCAUCCUUGAAAUGUUUUUAUAACUUGAUUGGAAUCCACCUGUGGUAAAUUCAAUUGAUUGGACAUGAUUUGAAAAAGACACACUCCUGUCUAUAUAAGGUCCCACAGAUGACAGUGCAUGUCAGAGAAAAAACCAAGCCAUGAGGUCGAAAGAAUUGUCUGUGGAGCUCAGAGACAGGAUUGUGUCGAGGCACAGAUCUGGGGAAGGGUAACAAAUAAUGUCUGUAGCACUGAAGGUCCCCAAGAACAAGUGGCCUCCAUCAUUCAUAAAUGGAAGAAGUUUGGAACCACCAAGACUUUUCCUAGAGCUGGCCGCCCAGCCACAAUGAGCAAUCAGGGGAGAAGGGCCUUGGUCAGGGAGGUGAUCAAGAACCUGAUGGUCACUCUGACAGAGGUCUAGAGUUCCUCUGUGGAGAUGGGAGAACCUUCCAGAAGAACAACCAUCUCUGCAGCACCUGACAGAGCUUGAGAUGAUCUGCAGAGAACAAUGGGAGAAAUUCCCCAAAUACAGGUGAGCCAAGCAUGUAGCGUCAUACCGAAGAAGAAUCAAUGUUGUAAUCUCUG
RNAcentral lists this long non-coding RNA (1114 nucleotides) under Salmo salar (Atlantic salmon). Its description in RNAcentral is "lncRNA (ENSSSAG00000109330.1)". Lineage: Eukaryota; Metazoa; Chordata; Actinopteri; Salmoniformes; Salmonidae. The record is from RNAcentral.